CAAUAUCCCCUCAUCUCUAAAAUACACUCUAAUUCCCUCUACAUAAAAUACUAGACCUAAUUUUAAUUCCCACACACACCUACACCUUGACAACAACCGUUUUUCCCUCAAAAAUAGAUCUGAGAGAGCCUACCCCAUCUUCUUCCUUAAACAACCAAAAAAACUAGGGCCAAAGAGAACCAGCAGAGGCAGCUGAAGCUCGCCUGCUUCUCCUCCUUCAAUAGAGGCAGCUUCCUUCUUCGUCCUAAAAUCACGCCCGAAGCCACUCCAAAUCCAACCGAAAAAAAACUUUAAAAUAAUCUGAAAACCUCAGCCAAACACCAUCCUUUUACACCUGAAACCAAGCUCAAAACCAGCUGAAAAAUCAGUCGCAAAACCAGUCAAAAACCAGCUUUCAAACCUCCAUAAACACAGCUGAAAAAUACCAUGUAAAUCAGUCACGUAACAACCUUAAACUAGCUGCAAAUAGCCAUGAAAUCCCCUCAAAACCCAGUUGCAAACACAUUCCAAAAUAGCUCCAAAAUCCAGCUUUAUCUCCACCCCAAACCCAGCUAAAAACAGUCACGAAAUCAUCUCUAAAAAUCGAUCAAAAUUUCACUAAAAACAGUCGAAAAACAACCACAAAACUACUAAAAAUAACUCCCAAAACCCAGCAAAAUCACCUCCAAAAAGCUCUUCAAACACUGUAAAAAAUGCAUCAGCAGUUCUGGAAAAACGCAGCAGCGGUUGGUUUCUCAUAUUCCAUUUCCAAAAUCAGUUUUGAAGCCAUUUGAACUUAGUCCAUCAAGGUCGUCGAGGUCCCCUGGUUUGAGGUUCUCGUUUGCUUGACGAUUCGUUAAUACUUGCAACUGUAAAGGUUCGAUCUUGUUUCAGAUUCUAUGUAAAUACUUGAAUUCUUAGUUUGUUGUUUUGGUUGGAAUUAUUUUACAUGUUUUGAUUAGUUAUUUCCUUAUUACUUCUUUUUCGGUUUGUUUAGCGAGUUCUUUCAUGAGAUUUGCAUAUUGUUGCUUCCCUGUUACUCUUGAUUUGUGAACAAGGUUGCUUUAUUUGGUCAAUUGGAGUUCAAACUUGCUAUGUGGUCAUACAUGUUUUAUGGUGUUAUUUGGUUCAUUUUAAUCCGUUGGUAAUUAGUCUACAACAACUCAACAGUAAUAUGAUUUGUAAAUGAACUCAUUUAUGUGCUUAACUGUUCACUUUGUUCAUUUAUGCAAACUUAAUGAGUAGUUCAAUUGUCGUAAUCUCUUACUCAGUUAUGUUAAGUUUGGACACCUGUGCUUGAGGCAUGGUACAUGGUGGCAAAUUACUCUCUCAUUUGGGGGAAAGUUUAUAUGUGCAUGUGAGGGAAAUGAACCUUUACCCUAUACGAUUAGGUUAGUAUUGCAAAGCCAGUUAUCUUAAUAUUAUGCUGCCCAAUUACGACUCACAUAGCAUUGGGCAUUUACAUCUAGUCUGAAAUAUAUGAAAAUACCUUAUAGACAUGAUUAUAGUUUGGGUAUACUUUAAAUCGAACUAACUAUUACAAUCAUGUACACACAUACGUGACAUAGUUGUGAUGCCAAAAAUAAACCAAGGUAUACGUUCGCGUGACCAUGGUCAAACCUUUUAUUAAAUAAAAUGCCUUAAUCAAAUAUUCAUAGAAAUGCUUAAGGCGCGGUUUUUAAAUUACUAUCGUGAUUGCGAUUUUUUCGAAUAAAUCAAAGUUUGUGUUCGCGCGACUUUGACCAAUCCUUUUUUUUCUUAAAUAAACUAAGUGUUCGGAAUUGUGUAUACGUACGUGUGACAUGAUUUUUGACACACUAAAACUAAAAAGUAUACGUACUUGUAACUCAUCUUAAGUUAAUUCUUUAAAUAGGGAUUAUCAAGUGAUUAAUAGCGGUACAAGGUAAAAUAAACAUAGGUCCUAAAAUGAGUAAUUAGACAAAAUAAGCCAAGUAUAAAUUGCUAAGCGAUUGUGCUAAAACCAUGGAACCCAGGAAUGCCUAACACCUUCCCACGGGUUAACAGAAUUCCUUACCUAGUUUUUCUGGUUUCGUAGACUUUUAUAUGAAGUCAAAUUUUCCUCGAUUUGGGAUUUAAAAUAAACCGAUGACUUGGAAAACCAUAAAUUAUUUCAAGUGGCGACUCUGAAAUUAAAUAAAUAAUCUCACAUCGAUUAAUGUUACUUAAAUUGGAAAAACUCCCUUAUAUCCCCCCUCGGGUAAAAAGGAGGUGUGACAAUGAGCUUGUUUUGACUCCCACUCUAUCGGGAGUUCAUCCUAUUUUCCACGUUUCUAUGCUCCAGAAGCAUCAUGCCGACAGGUCGCAUGUGUUAGAUAACAUCACGGUUCAGCUAUAUGAGAGCAUAGGUUAUGAGGAGGAAACAAUUGUCAUUGUUGACAGGCAGGUUCGCCAGUUGAGGUCCAAGAAGAUUUAUACGAUAAAGGUUCAGUGGAGGGGUCAACCAAUCAAGGAGGUAAAUUGGGAGACCGGGGAGGACAUGCGGAGCAGAUAUUCGCACUUAUUCGGCACUUCAGGUAUGAUCCUAGACCCCUUCGAAGACGAACAUUUGUUUAAGAGAUGGAGAAUGUAACGACUUGACUAAUCGUUUUGCUUUUUAGAUCCUCGUUCCUCUAAUUAAGACUCCCUGUAUGUGCUUUUACUAUUUUAUAACUUGCGGGGAUGGUUAGUUCGAGUUUGAAAGGGUUCGGAUUGAAAUCGGAAUACUUAGUUCCUUAAUAUUGGCUUUAAAGGGUUAAGUUUGACUUGAGUCAACAUUUUGAGUAAAUGACCUCAAAACUAGGAUUUGACAGUCACAAUAGGUUCGUAAAAUAAUUUUGAACUUUGGUAUAUGUUCGGAUCGGGUUUUGGAUGACCCGGGAGUGUUUCGACCCUUAAUAUUGAAAGUUGGCACAUUGAAGAUUUUGAAGUUUUUUAUAUUUGGUUUGAAGUAAGUUUUGGCGUUAUCGAGGUCCCUUUGAGAUUCCAAAUCCGUGAAUUGUUAUAUAUGGUGAUUUAAGACUUGCACGCAAAAUUUGGCAUCAUUCCGAGUAGUCUAAGUAUGAUUCGGCGCGUUCAAAGCAAGUUAAAAACUCGAAGUUCAUAAUUUGAUUCAAUUUGAUUUUGGGGUGUGAUUCCUAGUUUCGAUGUUGUUUUACGCACUUUGAGAGUUCGAGCAGGUUUGUUUUAUGUUAGUGGACUUGUUGGUGCACUUGUACGGGAUCCCGGGUGGCUCGAGUGAGUUUCGAGUUGAGUUCCAAAAAUCUGGUGUGCUGGUUCUGGUUUCCUUCUUCGCGAAUGUGAGAGCUGUGUCGCGUUUGCGGAGAAGGAAAUAGUGAGGGACUGAGAUUUCUCUACGUGUUCACGACCCCUUGCCCGCGUUUGCAAAGGUCUGAAACCUAUGACCUCCGCGUUCGGGUGAGGAGGCCCGUGUUCGCGUAGAGAAAUGGGCCUGGGGGCGGGGGGAGGCUGAGCUUCUUCUUCUUCGCGUUCUCAAGUUGGACCCCACGUUCGCAAAGCUUAGGCUCGUCAGCCUUCACGUUCCCGUGUGGUUCCUCGCGUUCACGAUGGCUAUUUUCCUGGGGGCCCGGGCAGAUAGCCUUCACGAUCACAAUGACCUUUUCGCGAUCGCGAAGAAGGCAGACCUAGGCAGUGAGGUUCAUUUAAGACGGGACUUAGGCCAUUUUGGGUUCAUUUAUUUUACUUCUUGGAUGAUUUUGGAGCUUAUUAGAGAGGGGUUUCCACCUAGAUAUUGAAGGUAAGUAAUUUUCACCCAAUGUAAGUUCAAUACAUAGAUUGUAGGUAGAUUUUAACAUGUAAAAUUAUGAAAAUUAUGGGUUUAGUUGAAAAAUCUAGGUUUUUGAUAAAAAUGGGAUUUGACCACGAAAAUGAUUAUGGAAUUCGGUGAAAAUUAUAUAUUUGAGUUCGUGAGAUUAUGGGUAACAUUUAUCUUCGAAAAAUUUUCGGAAUCUAGGCACGUGGGCCCGGGAGUAAAUUUUAGGAAUCUUCCAAUUUGGGUUGGGUAAUUACUCUAAUAGUUAAAUUAUGAAGUUUUGAUUAUAUAUUGAUUAAUUUAUAUAAUAUUUGACUAGUUUCGGAUUGUUCGCACCGAGUUGAGGCUUUAGAACGAAUUUGUGGGUCGGAAAGUGAACCUGGAGACGAGAUAAGUCUCUUGCCUAACCUUGUGAGAGGGAAUAUAUCCAAAUAGGUGUUUUAAAUUACUAUUUGUUUCUAUUUGGGGGGGGGGGAGAUACAUACGUACUAGGUUACGAGAGUCCAUGCGUAGCUACUAAUCAUGCUAAGUUCAGGUAGUUUAGGUCCCAAAUCAUGAAAUACUUGAGUUGUUUGCACUCUACUUAUUAAUUUAAGUGCCUAGAUUAUAUUGAAACUUGAUAAAGAAUUCUUAAAGACUGAACUUCACUUACUUUGAGUUUGGCGGACUACUUGACUGUUAAUGAAAAUUGUGUUCCUUGUGUAUAAUUGCGUGAUAGCUUUAAUUUGGGUGUUCAUAGAAUAUUCUCUCUUCUUGUGGAGUGGGCCGAAUGCCUCGACGGUAUAACAGACGCAUCUAUGGUUCGUGUCGCUCGACCAUCGACAGUGUACACAUUAUUCUGGAUCGGACAGUACAACCUCGGCAUAAAUCGUGCGUAAUAAUGUUUGGAGCCCGAAUACACUUGAUAUUAUAUUUAUGACUUAAGAGGUUAUAAUUUAUUUGAUGGCCCAAAAUUGUUGAAGUUCGUGUCGUGUCAAUGGGAGAUUCUAAUUGAUUAUUAUUUAAGGAACCAUUUAUUUAUUGUUUGUUAUUGUGUUAUUAUUGUUGUUGUUAUUCACGUACACCAUGCCUAUUAGAAUUUAUGUAUUUAAUUAUUAUUGGCCCGUAGUAAGUAUCGAAGCCGACCCAUCGUCACUACUUCUUCGAAGUUAGACAAGAUACUUAUAAGGUACAUGUUGUUUAUGUACACACGCUACACUUCUGCAUUGAUCGUGCAACAUCUGAGGCAGGUGCAUCUAGCGGUUAUUCCGGCGCGCACCCCCCAAUACCCCGAGGCUUAGUGGUGAGCUGCCUUCUGAGUCCGUUCUGCAGCACCCGGAGUCUCUCUUUUGCAUUUUAUUUUCUGUCUACUCUAUUUGAGACAGUAGCUUAGUGUUUUGUAUAUUGUACUAGUUGCUCAUUUACUUAUGAUACAGGGUCUUGAAAUACAUGCUAGUAGGCUUUAUGA
This 5195-nucleotide long non-coding RNA is filed under the name Nicotiana tabacum (common tobacco). RNAcentral describes it as "long non-coding RNA (NTAB_LNC005536)". The record is from RNAcentral. Lineage: Eukaryota; Viridiplantae; Streptophyta; Magnoliopsida; Solanales; Solanaceae.